RNAcentral lists this ribosomal RNA (253 nucleotides) under uncultured bacterium. Its description in RNAcentral is "partial 16S ribosomal RNA". It matches the Rfam family "Bacterial small subunit ribosomal RNA", at positions 524 to 776 of the family's 1533-position model. The record is from RNAcentral.
UACGUAGGUGACAAGCGUUGUCCGGAUUUACUGGGCGUAAAGAGCGCGCAGGCGGUCGUUCAAGUCGAGUGUGAAAGCCCCCGGCUCAACUGGGGAGGGUCAUUCGAUACUGAUCGACUCGAAGGCAGGAGAGGGAAGUGGAAUUCCCGGUGUAGCGGUGAAAUGCGCAGAUAUCGGGAGGAACACCAAUGGCGAAGGCAGCUCGCUGGGACGGUACUGACGCUGAGGCGCGAAAGCGUGGGGAGCAAACAGG